Dalotia coriaria is the source of this 363-nucleotide long non-coding RNA. RefSeq lists it as uncharacterized. The record is from RefSeq and is a predicted model, not a curated record. The transcript has 2 exons. Lineage: Eukaryota; Metazoa; Arthropoda; Insecta; Coleoptera; Staphylinidae.
UACUUUAUAGAUUACCACGUUCCUCUGCCCAAGAUCAAUCAUUAUUCGUGACUUUUUCGCAAAAAUAUCACUAUAUAUACUUGACUUAUUCAUGUGACUUAACAGUUAAAGUUUUCUGUAAAAUUCACAACAACUACAACGAUGAAUCUAACUUAUCUUGUGCUUUUGUUAGUCACAAUUUCAUUGUGUCUAACAACAACACUGGCCACCCGGUCCGAUUGUCCGACUAUUUGCCUCGCAGCUUGUUAUAAAACUUGCGAACAGUACUACUCUUGGUACCUAGGUUAUUUGCUCUGUGGCGUAUUGUGCAUUUAAUCGGUAAACAUGCAGAUAAUCUAAUAAAGUACUUACCAAGUCUGUAAA